This 465-nucleotide ribosomal RNA is filed under the name uncultured bacterium. RNAcentral's name for it is "partial 16S ribosomal RNA". It matches the Rfam family "Bacterial small subunit ribosomal RNA", at positions 338 to 795 of the family's 1533-position model. The record is from RNAcentral.
CCUACGGGAGGCAGCAGUAGGGAAUCUUCCACAAUGGGCGAAAGCCUGAUGGAGCAACGCCGCGUGGGUGAAGAAGGUCUUCGGAUCGUAAAACCCUGUUGUUAGAGAAGAAAGUGCGUGAGAGUAACUGUUCACGUUUCGACGGUAUCUAACCAGAAAGCCACGGCUAACUACGUGCCAGCAGCCGCGGUAAUACGUAGGUGGCAAGCGUUAUCCGGAUUUAUUGGGCGUUAAGGGCACGCAGGCGGUCUUUUAAGUCUGAUGGGAAAGCCUUCGGCUUAACCGGAGUAGUGCAUUGGAAACUGGGAGACUUGAGGGCAGAAGAGGAGAGUGGAACUCCAUGUGUAGCGGUGAAAUGCGGAGAUAUAUGGAAGAACACCAGUGGCGAAAGCGGCUCUCUGGUCUGUAACUGACGCUGAGGUUCGAAAGCGUGGGUAGCAAACAGGAUUAGAGACCCUUGUAGUC